This 21-nucleotide non-coding RNA is filed under the name Caenorhabditis elegans. Lineage: Eukaryota; Metazoa; Nematoda; Chromadorea; Rhabditida; Rhabditidae. The record is from RNAcentral.
UGCUAUCCGCUUUAACAAUGA